UCCCUUUUUUUGUCUGUCACAUUCAAUACUUAGGAAUAAUAUAUUUUUAAAAGACAUUUCUAGCCAUUAACAAACUAUGGCUUAGGGAUAGAAUUAGGUUACGCAAAAGUAAAAUGAAAUUUUAUGUGUCUGUUAACAUAAUCAUGAUUCCCUUAAACUAUGUCUGCACUGGAAUUUUGUUACCAGUUACCAAAAUAUUACUGUAUUAUUCAUUAUUGAAAUCCUUGUGUUAUGCUAUGAUUGUAUUUCUAAAAAGCAUUUUAUAAAUUGAUUUUCACUAUAUCUAGCCCUAAAUACUACUAAGGACAUUUAAAAUUUAAAACAUUCCUGUAGAGAAUUUUGUUAUAGGUUUCAAUGUAGUAACUUCAGUCUUUUUGAAGAACAGAUUUUCUUUAUAUACUAUUCAUUUUUCAUUUUCUCUCCUGCUGAUUUUACAUUAAUUGCAAAGCAUUUAUUUCACUACUGUUUGUGAAAUGAUGCUGUCUUUUUCUUUAUUAGGUUCAUAAGGAAAUGGAUUACUUUAUAAAAGAUAAGUUGCUUCUUGAAAGAAUUCUUGGAAUGGAAUUCAUGGAACCAAUGGAAAAAAGCAUCUUUUACAAUGGUAUCUUCUAAAUCCCUUUGUAGAACUUGAUAACUGUUUUCAAAGUUUGAGAAAAAAGUGCUUGUAGAUAUUUUUCUUUUUUUCUUUUUUUUUUUUUUUUAGACGGCG
Molecule: long non-coding RNA, 709 nt
Filed under: Homo sapiens (human)
Lineage: Eukaryota; Metazoa; Chordata; Mammalia; Primates; Hominidae
Description: long non-coding RNA NONHSAT216098.1
Source: RNAcentral